This 2405-nucleotide long non-coding RNA is filed under the name Podarcis lilfordi (Lilford's wall lizard). Lineage: Eukaryota; Metazoa; Chordata; Lepidosauria; Squamata; Lacertidae. The record is from RNAcentral.
AAACACAGUAACAAACAGAAGCGGGUGGGCAGUAAGACCCUGAGGCAGAAUGCAGGAAAGCAGCAGCUUCCUCUUUUCAAGGCUUCCCUUCUCCGGACGAUUGAUAUUUGCCUGAUUUUUGCCUUCACUCACGCCUGUCGGCUCCAGGGACCACACAUUCGCUCAAUAACACGCGCAGACAUUUCCCCUUACUUUUUACGAGAAAAAAAUCUGCGUGUUAUAGAGGGAAAAAUACGGUAUAUGAAAGUUCUUAGUGGAACUAGGGGGUGAUAAUGACUGGCUGUAGGCCUGAGAGUGUCAAGGGGGGAUCUUUUGCCUUUCUCCAAACAUUGAGAGGUGCAGAGGAAUCUCAGAGGCUCUCCACCCCUCUUCUCCUCCUAAACGGCCUCAGCCCAGUAUACCUGAAGAAGCGUCUCCACUCCCAUCAUUCAGCCCGGACACUGAGGUCCAGCGCCGAGGGUCUUCUGGUGGUUCCCUCACUGUGAGAAGCAAAGUUACAGGGAACCAGGCAGAGGGUUUUCUUGGUAGUGGCGCCCGCCCUGUGGAACGCCCUGCCAUCAGAUGUCAAAGAAAUAAACAACUGACUGACUUUUAGAAGACAUCUACAAUAUUCCCAGCUAUCAUUUGCCGGUAAAAUGCAAAAAUCCUGUUUACGAGCUUCACAAAGCUGCCGCCGAUAUAAACACAACAGAGGGCUAGACAAUGUAAAAACUUUUUUUUUGGUAAUUUUUAUUUGAACACAAGUAUUCUGACAGAAUGCAAAGUCAAAAUUCUCCGUUAGUAUCAGUAUUUACAUUGGUGAGAAUGGAAAUAAAGGUGGUAUUCCAUGUUUCACUCGGUAAAAAGUUUUUUGUCUUUUGUUUUGUUUUUUAUAACAAGAGAGAAGGCCCCUAAAACAGGGAAUGCUGGGUAGGGAUGUGAAUGGAGGACUGAGAACCACUAUCACCAUUGCCUAAGUGAACCCCCAGGGGUCUGAAGACAUCCACAGAAAAAGGGGGAGAAAUAAAGUAAAAUCCACACAGUUGUUGUUGUUUUAAAAAAAGACUCCAUGGUAAAACUCAAGCAAGAAAAUGUGCUAUUUUUUCCUAAUACAUUGCAUGAAAUACAUGUUUACCGUACUACGAGAAGCUGGGUGGUUAUAUAGAUAUAUAUGUAUGACGCAUACAUAUAUAAAUAUGCACAUCGUAAACAGUGUAUUGUUGGUCCCUAUUCAAAGGUCUGUGUCUGCUCAAAAAAUAAAAUAAACAGGUAUAAAAAUAAAAUUAAUGUGAAGACACCUUUAAAAUUUCAUAAGAGAGAAUGUUGCUUCUAAAUUUAAAACAAAACUCUUUCGCUGCCAAAGGAGGAACGAACAACAUAUUGGCAAGAGUGAAUAGGCAGAGAUACUGAACGCCAUUCCCCUCACCAAGAAAUAAAAGUCUGCUUCACUGAGAGCUCUGGGACAGGAAGGAGGGCUGCCGAUGCAAAGUGGAAACGCUCCCCUGCCAAAGAGCUCUUAAUGAAGCAGCCACGGCCUCUUGCCGCCAUGGCAACCAUGCUGAGAAAUGCCUGCCUGGUGAGGGGAAAGAGGGCAAAAAUGGCGGCCAUCUUGGUUGGUUUGUGAGGGAAUUUGUGAGGCUUUGCUCUUGCUCAGGAAGGCUCAGCUGACAUCAAAGCCCUUUGAAAGCCACAGGAGUCUUUCCAGGGAUGUCGACUGGGCUUUAGCUCAGGCCUCAAGAUGGCAGCCAGGCUUUGAUUUAUGUUCCCACAGGAUCAUACGGCACACUUUGCCUGUGUGGGCCCCCCUGGGAGAGGCUAUUGGCAGAUUAUGGUAGCAUAAGCCUCCCGUUAGCCACUCGUCGCUUAGUGGGAAAUAUAACAUAUGAGGUAUGAGGCAAGAGUUGGUUGGCGACAGUAUUUUGCAGGCCCUCACAAUGGCCGACCUUCAGGGACCAAGGGACGCCAUUCUUGCUAUCUUCCGAACAAUAAAUCCCUGCCCAUUCAUUUCCCUCUGGGGAGGAAAAAAAGUCCAUGUGAGAACAUUACCGGGGGGGGGGGGUAUAUUUACACCCUUUAACAAAAUAAAUUCCUUGAAGGGCUAGAGUUCCCCUCCCCACUUUAUACCUUUAUAAACAAGUCCCCCACCCAGGCACACAGUAGAGGCUCGGACGCCACAGGCGCUGGAUGCGCGCACAUCGAUAUAAAGGCAGCCUCCAUUUCCACCCCCAUGAGCUGAAGAGAAAAAACAAAAACAACAAGAAAGCAGCCCCCACCCUGCCCCCACAUUUAGCAAAAUGACAAAGACUCUUGGUUUUUCACAGUUGGGAAUGAUAACUGAGAGAUGCCACAUUGACGGACUGCGCACAUGAGAUUAUAUCAAAAGGCGUGGCUUCAUUUUGCUUAGGCCGGACUGCAGUCUCCCCCCA